CAGUGUGAGUUAAAGCAUACAACUGCCUUGGAAAUAAGUUCUCAUUUCUCACUGGUUACUGGCGAGCAGACAACUCUAAGCAAAAAGAGUGUGAGCCCCUCAAACCUCCACAGAGACCUGGGAUAUCUUCCAGCUUAAGCGCCACCAACUUGCGUGUUCCUCUAUCCCCUGAAUUUCCUGCAGAUUGGUAGUUGGACUUCAAUGCUUGAUCAAGUCCAGAUUUAACUACUUCUGAGAACACUUCCUAGGGAAUAUCUUUACCUACUUCCGGUUGCACCAUGAGGACAUACCUAAUGCU
Tupaia belangeri chinensis (Chinese tree shrew) is the source of this 298-nucleotide long non-coding RNA. RefSeq lists it as uncharacterized. The transcript is spliced from 3 exons. The record is from RefSeq and is a predicted model, not a curated record. NCBI's taxonomy places the organism in Eukaryota, Metazoa, Chordata, Mammalia, Scandentia, Tupaiidae.